RNAcentral lists this unclassified non-coding RNA (378 nucleotides) under plant metagenome. RNAcentral's name for it is "partial contains 5.8S ribosomal RNA, internal transcribed spacer 2, and large subunit ribosomal RNA". The stretch from base 1 to 105 matches the Rfam family "5.8S ribosomal RNA", at positions 50 to 154 of the family's 154-position model. The record is from RNAcentral.
GAAAUGCGAUAAGUAAUGUGAAUUGCAGAAUUCAGUGAAUCAUCGAAUCUUUGAACGCACCUUGCGCUCCUUGGUAUUCCUUGGAGCAUGCCUGUUUGAGUAUCAUGAAAUCUUCAAAGUAAAUCUUUUGUUAACUCAAUUGGUUUCUACUUUGGUAUUGGAGGUCUUUGCAGCUUCACACCUGCUCCUCUUUGUUCAUUAGCUGGAUCUCAGUGUUAUGCUUGGUUCCACUCGGCGUGAUAAGUUAUCUAUCGCUGAGGACACUGUAAAAGGUGGCCAAGGUAAAUGCAGAUGAACCGCUUCUAAUAGUCCAUUGGCUUGGACAAUACUUUUAUGAUCUGAUCUCAAAUCAUGUAGGACUACCCGCUGAACUUAAGC